CUUUUGAGAGAGAGAGCCAGAGUGCAAACAGGAGAGGGGCAGAAAGAGAGGGAGACACAGAAUCCGAAGCAGGCUCCAGGCUGUGAGUCAUCAGCACAGAGCCCGACGCGGGGCUUGGACCCACGAACCAUGAGAUCGUGACCUGAGCCGAAGUCAGACACUCAACUGACUGAGCCACCCAGGCGCCCCAGCUCCUGGGUGUUUCUUGCUGUCAGGCCUGAAGAAGGCAUCGGGCCAUCCCUGCUCCCAGAUUUCUGAAAAGCCCCUGAGUGGUGCGUCUGUGAAAUACCAGGGCGUAGGAGGUCAGACCACCCAGAAAUGCCACUCCUGGCCCACCCUACCACUCUGUUCAGUUGUUGGAGACCUCAUACCUCCCUCCAGCCCCGGCUGCCUCUGAGGGGAUUGCUGACCACCCCACCCCCUACGAGACUUGUUGGGUUGCCUCGAAGGCUUGGGCCCACCCGCGUGACUUCUGCAGGCCUGCCUGGUGCUCAGCACACAUCCUCUUCACUGAUCCUGGAGGCUGCUGAAAGGGGCUCUUUUCCAUCCUCGACUCUGGAAGUUCUCAUACACACCUGGCCCACUGUGCCUGGAUCUCCAAAUUUUGUUCAAAUUUCGUUCAACUGCCCACGAUGGGGAAGGGGGGGAGUCCAUAGUGACUCAUUUUCCCCAUCUGCUGAGAUGGCCUUUGACAAAUGAAGCCCAGCCAGAUGCUCCUGUGGGACCGAGAGACUGUCCACCUCAGAAGCGAGACCUUGGCUUCCAGGCCAGGAACACCUCCCAUGUGGAUCUUCAGACUCUCAUCCACCACUACCGUGAUGCAAUUCUAACCACCUGGAAUGAGCAUGGAGUCCAC
Molecule: long non-coding RNA, 856 nt
Organism: Neofelis nebulosa (Clouded leopard)
Lineage: Eukaryota; Metazoa; Chordata; Mammalia; Carnivora; Felidae
Exons: 3
Source: RefSeq, a predicted model, not a curated record